This 484-nucleotide ribosomal RNA is filed under the name uncultured bacterium. RNAcentral describes it as "bacterial SSU rRNA". It matches the Rfam family "Bacterial small subunit ribosomal RNA", at positions 28 to 507 of the family's 1533-position model. The record is from RNAcentral.
GACGAACGCUGGCGGCGUGCCUAACACAUGCAAGUCGAACGGAAACUUGAAUUUCGGUUUAAGUUUUAGUGGCGAACGGGUGAGUAACGCGUGAGAAACCUACCUCUCAGUGGGGGACAACAGUUGGAAACGACUGCUAAUACCGCAUAACAUUAUCGAAGGGCAUCCUUUGAUAAUCAAAGCUUUAUGUGCUGAGAGAUGGUCUCGCGUCUGAUUAGCUAGAUGGCGGGGUAACGGCCCACCAUGGCGACGAUGUCUAGGGGUUCUGAGAGGAAGGUCCCCCACACUGGAACUGAGACACGGUCCAGACUCCUACGGGAGGCAGCAGUGAGGAAUAUUGGUCAAUGGUCGAGAGACUGAACCAGCCAAGUAGCGUGCAGGAUGACGGCCCUCUGGGUUGUAAACUGCUUUUAGUUGGGAAUAAAGGGAGUACGUGUACUCUGUAUUGUAUGUACCAUCAGAAAAAGGACCGGCUAAUUCCGUG